UCGAAGGUAUAAGCCAACUUCCAGGAGGAAAAUUUCCUUGUGCAUCUUUAGAGCUAGAAUUGGGGAAUGGAGGGUUGCUCUACCAAAGUGACAGUCACAGGGGGCCCAAAGAUGGUACAAGCUUAGCAGCAGUGGGAAGAAAUAAACAGAAAUAAACCUGGGCCAAGGUCUGAUCUGGAGGCAGCCUGUGAUGCUCUUUGAGUAGGACAGUUCCCUGUGGCCACACACAGAGAGCUUGGAGCCUGGUGAAAGCCAGGAGAGAACAGGUGGGGCCCAGAAGAGAGCUGGAUGAGUGAUGUAAGAGGAUUUCCACUUGUCCUGGUGCAAGGUCAAGUCUCAAAGGACAUUCAGUAAGCCACUGCCGCCCACUCCUUUCACGGCCAUCCACUCCACUCCUUCCACGGACCUCUUUCCCUUCCUUCCUCUCCCCUCUUCUAGACCUAACACUUUCGUGUUCCAGACCCUGGGUGGAGGGUGUCACUCUACAGCAAGGACCAAGUCCAAAAGCAAGACCAGAAGAGACUACAGGGUCCCUGUGGGCUGAGACAAAAGAAGUGGUCUGAGGAAUUCACAAUGACGUAAGUGGCAUAUUUAGGAACCUGAUAAGCAGCGCCAGCAAAUUGGAUCAGAAUGGCAAGGGACAGAAGAUGGUGCCGUGGAUUUCUGCCGUCAGCGUGGGUGUCAGACCCGCAUCCCUCACUGGCCCUCCAUUAUCGCUGCUUUCCUUCGGCUGUUUCUCUUGACAGCGAAGAACGCUGACAGCCCAGCUGAAUUCCUUAAACUCUUAUUUUCUACCAGACCGAAGGAUGACAAACGAGCUUUUCAGUCCUGUUGAUGAGCACAUCACAAAAAUGACAUAAUAGUGUAAUUUUUUGCCCCAAGACAAGGAAAAAAAUGUGUUGGAAAUCACUGUGUUCAUGUUUUUGUUCCCUUUCCACCUUCAUCUGACCACAGUUGUCACUCAGAGACUCUAAAAAGAAGCAGAAGUGGAGGCUGGUGUUGAGCAGCCACUGCAGUGUGUGUCUAUGACAAGGUCACACUCGUCACAGUGGCAGGGACACACUUUCCUUAUUGAGAGUGGUGACACCAGCAGCAUUGUACAGGCUCUUAACUGACGCCUCUGAAAUUGGAUGUGACACCCCACAGGACAAGUCUUGGGGAGGAAGCCUGGAAGACAGCCAUCCAGAGAAGCCUCUGCCUCCACUUGCACAAUUCCUGAAAGCCACGUCCAGCAGUGAAUUGAGUUCUCUUCAGUCUCUGCAAGGUUGACCUUGCUCAUCUUCUGGACAGUGAGCCCAGAUCGCCCUGUGCCGUAUGUAGGUUAGGGUUUCAAGUUGAAGCUAAAAGGGGAACCAUAGCUCUGGCUGGUAGUUCAGGUGCCACCUGAGGGAAUCACAGAGUAGGCAGAUCUGGAUUUUACCUCCAGCGUGGAUCAGGCUUCACUGGGAGCUGUUCCUUUCACCCAGUGCUAAGCGGUCACAGGUCUGCUAUAUGUGAGCAGUGCUGCCCAUCUUCAUCAAAAAGUUCACCUUUGGGAAUGCUUGGCAGACAUUUACAUGAGAGUCUAAAGUCAGCCCAUGAGAACUGCCAUGCUCACAAUCAAAUUACUAUUCACACAUGGACAGAUUUCCCUUGCUGCUGUGGGCUGCCAUUUCUUCACGUUAGUAAAAGACGAUGCAGUGAACUUGUAAAUUUUUGUUUGUUUGUUUUUUAGCUGCAGUUUUACCCUCCAAAGGGUUAAGAAUGUAUCAUCUCACACACACUCUCAUCACGCAUCUGUGAGUAGAACGGGCUUGAGGUUAUUCACAAUUGAAAUAUUUCUUAUUCUUCCUCUCUAGGCUUUUCACAAACAUUUGCAUCUCAAAUGUUAAAUGCAUUAAUGAUACAACCUCCCUGAUACCUAGAAGAAAAUCUUGAAAAACUUAAGAGCGAUUUAGAAUAAAAGGGAAUUUUAAGUGCA
This is a long non-coding RNA of Cavia porcellus (domestic guinea pig), 1960 nucleotides long. RefSeq lists it as uncharacterized. The transcript has 3 exons. Lineage: Eukaryota; Metazoa; Chordata; Mammalia; Rodentia; Caviidae. The record is from RefSeq and is a predicted model, not a curated record.